GACGAACGCUGGCGGCCUGGGCGACGAUGAGGGCACAUGCAAGUCGAACGGAAUCAGCGCCGGUUCUUCGGAACCAAUGCUGAUUUAGUGGCGGACGGGUGAGUAACGCGUGAGUAACCUGCCUCUGAGAGGGGAAUAACGUUCUGAAAAGGACGCUAAUACCGCAUAACAUAUAACUGCCGCAUGACAGAUAUAUCAAAGAUUUAUCGCUCGGAGAUGGACUCGCGUCCGAUUAGUUAGUUGGUGAGGUAACGGCUCACCAAGACCGCGAUCGGUAGCCGGACUGAGAGGUUGAACGGCCACAUUGGGACUGAGACACGGCCCAGACUCCUACGGGAGGUUUUCAGUGGGGGAUAUUGCGCAAUGGGGGCAACCCUGACGCAGCAACGCCGCGUGAAGGAUGAAGGUUUUCGGAUCGUAAACUUCUUUUAUUAAGGACGAAGAAUGACGGUACUUAAUGAAUAAGCUCCGGCUAACUAC
Molecule: ribosomal RNA, 480 nt
Filed under: uncultured bacterium
Lineage: Bacteria
Description: bacterial SSU rRNA
Rfam family: Bacterial small subunit ribosomal RNA
Source: RNAcentral